UGCUUCAGAUGCUUGAAACUGAAUUUUCACUCAAUUUGGCUUGAAGCUCAGAUUACUUCCAAUGAAACCAUCCUUUAAAGCUGAAUUUCAUGCAUUCAUGCCAUGUUUCUUUCAGAUAAAGAGAGAAUUAUCCACGAAGCCUUUGAGAGAAGCACUGGAUGAUCAGACGCUUCCGAUUUGCUGGAAAGGACGGAAACCUUUCAAAAGCGUACGUGAUGUCAAGAAAUACUUCAAGACCUUUGCAUUGAGCUUUGCGAAUGACGGAAAAUCUAAAACUCAGCUUGAAUUCCCACCAGAAGCUUAUCUUAUAGUAUCAGUAAGUCCACCCUUGAACAGUUUUUCCACCUUUUGUUUUCAAGUUCAAUCUCUGAUGCAGUCAUAAUGAGCCUUUGUGUUUCAAUGAAUGCUGGCAAAAUCUUUCCAGUCUAAGGGAAACGCCUGCUUGGGAGUUCUAAAUGGUACAGAAGUAGGUCUGAAUGAUCUGAAUGUCAUUGGAGGUAAUGUUUUCUGUAUAAUUUGGAGCAUAGCUUGAAAUAUUGAGAAAAUCAUCCUACCACCUGGCUUAAAAUUCCUUACAAUUUCCUUUCUUUUGGCUUUAUUAGACAUAUCAAUGCAAGACAGAGUGGUGAUUUAUGACAACGAGAAGCAACUGAUUGGAUGGGCACCUGGAAAUUGCGACAGGCUUCCUAAAUCCAGAAGCAUUAUCAUUUGAUGACAGGUGUUCUAAACGUUAAAAAAAAUUGUCCUGUACAGAAAGCUGCUAAGCUGUAACAUUGUAUUCUUCCACCAUUACAGCAGAUUCCUUGUAAAGUAAUACUAUGUAUAUGUGGUCUGGUGAAUCAGACCCCACAAUUAUACUUGAUGGGUUAUGAAAAUUUAAUAAAAUAAUGAGCCAUACAAAUUAUUUUAAUCUCCCUUGUAUCUUUUAAUUCUGAAUUGUGGAAAUUCUUAUCUGAUAAUACAAUAAAAAAAGAAGAAAGACGUUGAUGCUCGAUUAGCAUCCCAACCAAAUAUCCAAGUGUGAAGCUCGGUUGGGUCACAGCAGUCCCUCCCCACCAAGCUAACUUUUUUUUUUCUUAGCUUUGUAUAAUCUCAUUUACUAUUUAUAUACAGUAUUUUUUUCAUAUAUUUUUCAGAUAUUUUCAAGAUAUUUUUCAAACUAUAUAUUAUUUGAUUUUCAAAAAUAAUAAAGAUUGAUUAUUCAUCCAAAAACACUAUACUUAUCUUCUUUUCAAUGCACAUAGAACACACUCAACAUGAUAUAUAGAACAUAUUAAUUUUUUUGUACAACUUAGACUCAUAACUCCUCAACAGUUUAACUGAGAAGUCUGUUUAGUGUUUAGCUUCUGAUUUGUGCUGAUAAAAAGCAAAGAAAAAGGUAAGAUUAGAAAUUUUUAGCAUUGUAGUUGAACUAUUUUUAGAAACUGAACGUUAUCAAAAUAAUAAAAAUUCAACGGAAAAGGAUUUCUUCAAGCUCUUGCCAAUAGCAUUUUCUACUGACCGACAUGUAGUACAAAUAUUUUGCUUCAUAAAUUUGGGGAAUCAUAAUUAUUGAUAUAAAACAGAAAAGUAAAAAAUUUAAGUUUCCCUUGGAACAAUCAUUAAUGAGACCGGAUGCAAAGAUUUAUAAUUGUUAGACGACAGGUUGUUUUAGAGCAAAAACUUGUGAAACAAUUAAUAGAGUCCAUGCUAAAUAGUUAGCAUUUUUGAGAUUAUACUUAUUUUAAUUUAGAGCAAAAACUCUAAAAAAUUUUAGCAUUAUACUUAUCUCAUUUUUGAGAUUUUUUUAGCUUUGAAUUAAGUUUUUUAAUAUUUUUAAAUCUUGUUGAUGUGAAAAAUAGUUUUUUAGAAAUAAAAAAAAUAUAUUUUAAUUUAUUUCAAAAUAAAAAAAAUACUUUAAAAUAUAAUAUCUACUAUAUUCUCAAACAAUCCAGCUACGUAACAUGCAACAACCGCACCCUAAGCAAGUGAAUUGCAUCUAAUGCAACAGCCCCACUAACUUCACGUACAGGUGUUUAAAAAAAGAAAAAAAUUAUAAACCUGUAAAUUUGGGUGUAAAUUUAUGAUUUUAACAGAGUUUAUUAAUUUUACAUUAGUCAAGUUUAAUUUUAUUAUUUUUAAAUUUUUUAAUUUGAAUUUACAUAUUAGAUAUAUAUUAACCUGUCAACUCGCGAGAAACAAUAGUAAAUUAAAAUUUAAAACCUACUUGCUUAUGAUUUUAAAAGUUAUUCCUUUUAAUUUUGAAAUGUAUAAGCUAAUAGCUUGAGUAGAGUUGACUGUUAAUUCUGUCUGAUACGCAGUAUGCCUUUUAAAAGCAUAAAAUUUAACUAAAAAUGAAGACAUUUUAGAAAGAGAAAAAAAAAACACAAUUAAAAUAUCAUUAAAGUCUAUUAUAAGGAUGAAAUUAAAAAUAAAUAUAUAUAAAUUAGAUUUUUUUAAACUAAAAGACUUAUUAAUUAUUUUACUAAAAAUAUAAGGACUGGAUAACGGUUUGCUCAUAAAACAGAAGAGAAGUCUCCAUGACUCAAUCCUCGAGCUUGGAAGUUGGAAGGCAAGCCACCAUGGAGGUGAAGACUAUACCAUUCCAUUUUAUUGAUUUGGCUUUGUUUCUAAUGUCUCAUGGAAGUUUCCAUGAAAUUGCCAUGAUAAUUCAGCUAAACCAUGUUGAGAGAUCAGAGAUCAGAGUCUCCUACUUAGAAUAGAGGAUACGUAGAUAUUAGCUUUCCCAUUGUAAUUAUGUUUCCUACUUAGAAUAGGAGAUCUGCAGAAUUCUUCUUUCCUAUUGUAAAGCAAUCGUCUUGUAUAAAUAUGUGAUACAGUAUCAAUAAUGCAUUGCUGCAUUGAAUUCAAUCUCUUCUUUAUUUCUUUACAUGGUAUCAGAGUAGGACUAGCCUUGCCAUUAAUUAUACACAUCUGUGUUUGUGCCUAGAUGAAAAGGCAAUUUAUAUACCUUAACUUGCUGCAAAUUCUUUUAGUUGCCUUUACAUUUAUUCUCAAAAAAGAGAUAGUUCUAAAUCCACCAACAUGAUCCUCCUAUCUCACUGGAGGAAAAGAAUAAAAGAACCUUUAACAAAACAUCACAUUUGAAGAAAUCUCAAUUUUUUAAUUGGUAAUUAAGUCAAGAUUUCAAGAACCAAGCAAUACCCAUGAAUCCGUAAUCGUCAAGCAAAAGCCCCCAUGUCAAUAAAAACAAAUUUGGACUCAUACGGGCUUCUCACAAAUCAAUCAAUACAAGUGAAUUGACCAAGUCUAAGUUUUCUUUCAGACAUUUAUCAAAUAAGUUGUAGUGCGUUAAUUAAUCACCAGAAACAACCACUCAGUGACUGUCAAAACAGAGAGAAAUGGGAAAAGAAAAGGUGGGUCUUUGGGUGGUGGGGGUGUUAGUGCUAGUUUUGAUUUUAGGGUUAUCAGCUGCUAGUGAUGACAGGCAGCAAAGAUGGAGAAAGGCUAUGAUGUCAGGUGAAACAAUGGGUUCAUCAAUGUUGAUGAAUAGAGUUCCAUCAUCCAUUGUCUUACCACUUCAUGGGAAUGUCUAUCCUACUGGGUAAGCGCAUAACUGAAAUGGGUUUUGACUUUUUUGUUGUUUUUUUUUUUGUUGCCAAGUAUGCUUCCUUGGGAUUUAGCUAUGUUUCAUGGUUCCAAUAUUUUCUCGUAGGAGUUUAUUUGUCUUUGAUUCUUUUUAGUUCUAUCAAUUGAAAUUUCAUAACCUUCAUGGAUAGCUAUGCAAUAAUUCAUGGAGUUUUGUGUUCAUCUGGAGUCCGGACUGUAACUGCAUAACUGAAUCGUUUGUUGCUAAAAUUACAGAGUUUCAUUGUGCAGGUUCUAUAAUGUGACCCUCAACAUUGGCCAACCAUCAAAACCUUACUUUCUCGAUGUAGAUACUGGAAGUGAUCUUACAUGGCUCCAAUGUGAUGUUCCCCGUGCCCAAUGCACAGAGGUAAACAUCAUUAUGACAGGUUUUCUCUGUUUUGUCCAACCAGUUUAUUAACAGUUUAUGAAAAAAAAAUUAAUUUAGCAUUCAUUUCAUGAUGUUCAUCACAUGAUCAAAUGGUCAAACCUGCACGGUCACCAUGGUGUCUUAAGCUAAACUUGAAGGAUGAAAUUAUUGUAUAAUGCUGCAACUCACAGAUGACUCUCUAGUUAUUUAUCCAGUUUUGAUUGAUGUGGUUAGUUUCAACAUAGUUUUGUUACUUGUUUUAUGGUAAAUCUGUAAACUUCUGCUGCUCCGUCAAAGGCAAAUUUCCCAGCGUUUGCUCUAUGGUUUGUCUUCGAUCUUGCAACUAUCAUUGUAUUUCAAACUUGCAUGUGAUUCUAAGUAGUUUUGAUAUCCUAUGCUUGAUUUUAUGCUCUUUCAAUAACUGAGUAACGUGAUUACUUUUCAUUUACAGGCACCGCAUCCAUAUUACAAACCCAGUAACAAUCUAGUGGCUUGUAAGGACCCCAUUUGUCAAUCCUUGCACACCGGUGGUGACCAAAGAUGUGAAAACCCAGGACAGUGUGACUAUGAGGUUGAGUAUGCUGAUGGUGGAUCAUCCCUUGGCGUCCUUGUCAAGGAUGCCUUUAAUCUCAACUUUACAAGUGAAAAGCGCCAGAGUCCUCUUCUGGCCCUUGGGUUGUUUUCUUUGCUUUCUUUCUUUAUUAAAACUUUACGAGGCUCGAUGCAUUUUUCAUUUGGUCGGCAGGCAUGCAUAAUCUAAAUCAUUUGCUCUCUCUGUUCGUUUUCUCCUCGAACAGGUGUGGAUAUGAUCAGCUUCCUGGUGGGACUUAUCAUCCCAUAGACGGAGUGCUUGGUCUUGGCCGGGGAAAACCUAGCAUUGUAUCACAGCUUAGUGGUCUGGGUUUAGUGAGAAAUGUGAUUGGACACUGUUUGAGUGGGCGCGGUGGAGGAUUCCUCUUCUUCGGGGAUGAUCUUUAUGAUUCAUCUCGUGUAGCUUGGACACCAAUGUCACCCAAUGCGUAAUUAGGCCUCAUGAACUUCCUUUCAUCUUCUCAAAGUUUAGCUUUUAUAGUUCAUGUCUUCAUAUUCUUAUGGUAAAUCCUCAUUGUGCAUGGUAGGAAACACUAUUCACCUGGAUUUGCUGAAUUGACUUUUGAUGGGAAAACUACUGGGUUCAAAAACCUGAUCGUAGCUUUUGAUAGUGGGGCCUCUUAUACUUACCUUAAUUCUCAGGUGUAUCAAGGUCUAAUUUCUCUGGUAAGUGGAAAAACUUCUCAUAAAAUAAGCCAAACAUGGAGUAACAUUAAGAACUAAGAGCCUGACAUUUGCAUUGGUGCAACUUGAGCAGAGUCUGUCAUCAUCACCUUAAUUUUGCACUACAUUUCUCAAAACCUGAAAUCAUUGCUCACUGAAUUUGAAAUCAUUUACAUCUACGAGAAAAAGAUUCCUUAAUUUUGCAAUGUAUUUGUUUCCUUAAUUUGCAGUUUAAUUUCCCACUCAAACAUUAACUUAAUUGUCUAGAUGAUAGAAGGAUAUCAGUGGUCACAUGCUUCAGAUGCUUGAAACUGAAUUUUCACUCAAUUUGGCUUGAAGCUCAGAUUACUUCCAAUGAAACCAUCCUUUAAAGCUGAAUUUCAUGCAUUCAUGCCAUGUUUCUUUCAGAUAAAGAGAGAAUUAUCCACGAAGCCUUUGAGAGAAGCACUGGAUGAUCAGACGCUUCCGAUUUGCUGGAAAGGACGGAAACCUUUCAAAAGCGUACGUGAUGUCAAGAAAUACUUCAAGACCUUUGCAUUGAGCUUUGCGAAUGACGGAAAAUCUAAAACUCAGCUUGAAUUCCCACC
This 5778-nucleotide long non-coding RNA is filed under the name Populus trichocarpa (black cottonwood). Its description in RNAcentral is "long non-coding RNA (PTRI_LNC002014)". The record is from RNAcentral. Lineage: Eukaryota; Viridiplantae; Streptophyta; Magnoliopsida; Malpighiales; Salicaceae.